GAGGGAAGAGCGUGACGAUGGUGCUAGCGCAGACACAGAGGAAGAGGUGGUUGUGGCGCUGCCCGGUAGAGAUGUGGUCGGUGCGCGCGGGUCAGAGGACGGAAGAGCUCAUGUCCAUUAUCAUCCACUCUAUGUUCCGCGGUGGUCGCGCUCCAUCCGGCGUUUGCCCUCCAUCCACUCUUUCCUCCAUCAUGAUUUUGUGAUAGGGGCGGUGGCCAUCGGAUUUGCGGGCGAUGCGACUAGAGGAUGUAAUCAAGCAGAUGGCUAGAGUGGAAUCGAAGAGGACCUCACGGCGAGUCUGUAGAGGCGCUCACCAGGAUCAGGGAGGCUCUGCAGUGGCCGAAUCAGUCGGAGGCGAUCGUCGGGCAGAGGGGCGAAGUCGUGGUCGAUGGCGUCGUCUCGGCGCUCUCUGCUCGAAUCCUUGUGCGGAGAGACGCUGCAAGGCCUGUCGAAGCUUCUGUACACGAAGGCGCGGGGAUUCUUCGCCGGUGGCCACGCGGACAAUCAACGGCGGCUAGGGCUGUGCGCUCGGGCAAGCUCGAAACCGAGCGCUAGAAGAGAGGGAGAGAGCUCCAGAGCGAUGGGAAAGUGAGAGGGGGUUCAGGGCAUCUCCCAGGCGAGCUGAUGGGGAUGAGGACGCGGGAGACAACGCUAAGCAAGAGGUGGCUGCAGGAUGAGCGCGCGCUCGACAGGCCUCUUCCUACUGGCAGAGAUUCAAGACGACCUGGCCGUGGGAUGGCUGGGCCUCAGGUAUACUAAUUUGGAGAGGACAUAUGAAGAUGUUGUUUUCAUUUCUUCUAAUUAUGGAAUGGUUGCAAUUUUGAGUACCUUCUCAAAGUAUGCUACUGAAUCUAUCUAUUGUAAUGGAACGGAAUAGGAGGUAUUUCCAAGUCAAACAAUCACGCGAGGGAGUGGUAAAACAAGGAUGGACGCAUGGCAUGGUGAACUGCUUGCUUGAGGGACGACUGCCACCAUUGAUGGAAGGAUUGCCACAUAGGCAUGGAAGCCUUGAAACAGGGAAAACUACUUUCAGAUGUUGAAGAACUUCGAGAGCAUCCGUACUCACCAAAAACCAUAUCAAAAUUAUUCAGUACAUCAUCUCAGUAUGGAAUGUCAUCUUAAAAGAUGGAACUAUAUCUUUUUUGGACGACAGUAUAGGGGAACUAGAACAUGCGGAAGCGGCCGUGAACAUAGAUGCACAGUACUACAAGGAAGAAACAAAGGUGUACACAAGAAGGGAGAUCUCACCCAGGUCUCCAAGCUAUUGACCCGAUAUGAAGCGCGGGCAGCCGGGCUGGACUGGAGGUUUGUGCACUGGCGGAGCUAAAGCAAGGCUUAAUGGGGCGUGGUUUGCCCAGCCCAAGGUAUUUUGUACACUAUGCAUUUAGUCCUAGGCCUUUAAAUAAUAGCCCAUAAGAUAUUUUCUUUUGGUUGGCCCGCCAGCUUUGGGCUGCAGGGUCCGCCACUGGGUUUGUGAAUAACCUGUAAAACUUAUUGAUUUUAAUUCGCUUGGUAUAGGUCAUUGGGUGUACUAGCAGUCUAUAGAGAGCUUGUUCUAAGGAUAUACUCUCUCCAUCCUCGAAAGAGUGUACUUCCAACUUUGUUGGAAAGUCAAACUUUUUUUA
This is a long non-coding RNA of Triticum aestivum (bread wheat), 1625 nucleotides long. RefSeq lists it as uncharacterized. NCBI's taxonomy places the organism in Eukaryota, Viridiplantae, Streptophyta, Magnoliopsida, Poales, Poaceae. The transcript is spliced from 7 exons. The record is from RefSeq and is a predicted model, not a curated record.